This 253-nucleotide ribosomal RNA is filed under the name uncultured bacterium. RNAcentral describes it as "partial 16S ribosomal RNA". It matches the Rfam family "Bacterial small subunit ribosomal RNA", at positions 524 to 776 of the family's 1533-position model. The record is from RNAcentral.
UACGAAGGGGGCUAGCGUUGUUCGGAAUUACUGGGCGUAAAGCGCACGUAGGCGGAUUUGUAAGUCAGGGGUGAAAUCCCGGGGCUCAACCUCGGAACUGCCUUUGACACUGCAAGUCUUGAGUCCGAUAGAGGUGAGUGGAAUUCCUAGUGUAGAGGUGAAAUUCGUAGAUAUUAGGAAGAACACCAGUGGCGAAGGCGGCUCACUGGAUCGGUACUGACGCUGAGGUGCGAAAGCGUGGGGAGCAAACAGG